RNAcentral lists this ribosomal RNA (758 nucleotides) under uncultured archaeon. RNAcentral describes it as "bacterial SSU rRNA". It matches the Rfam family "Archaeal small subunit ribosomal RNA", at positions 102 to 859 of the family's 1478-position model. The record is from RNAcentral.
GGAUAACCUACCCUUAGGACUGGGAUAACCCUGGGAAACUGGGGCUAAUACCGGAUAGGCAAUUAUUCCUGCAAUGGUUUUUUGUUUAAAUGUUUUUUCGCCUAAGGAUGGGUCUGCGGCCGAUUAGGUAGUUGGUUAGGUAAUGGCUUACCAAGCCGUUGAUCGGUACGGGUUGUGAGAGCAAGAGCCCGGAGAUGGAACCUGAGACAAGGUUCCAGGCCCUACGGGGCGCAGCAGGCGCGAAACCUCCGCAAUGUGAGAAAUCGCGACGGGGGGACCCCAAGUGCCAUUCUUAACGGGAUGGCUUUUCAUUAGUGUAAAGAGCUUUUGGAAUAAGGGCUGGGCAAGACCGGUGCCAGCCGCCGCGGUAACACCGGCAGCUCUAGUGGUAGCAGUUUUUAUUGGGCCUAAAGCGUCCGUAGCCGGUUUAAUAAGUCUCUGGUGAAAUCCUGUAGCUUAACUGUGGGAAUUGCUGGAGAUACUAUUAGACUUGAGACCGGGAGAGGUUAGAGGUACUCCCAGGGUAGAGGUGAAAUUCUGUAAUCCUGGGAGGACCGCCUGUUGCGAAGGCGUCUAACUGGAACGGUUCUGACGGUGAGGGACGAAAGUUAGGGGCGCGAACCGGAUUAGAUACCCGGGUAGUCCUAACUGUAAACGAUGCGGACUUGGUGUUGGGGGUGGCUUUGAGCUGCUCCAGUGCCGAAAGGGAAGCUGUUAAGUCCGCCGCCUGGGAAGUACGUCGCAAGACUGAAACUUAA